UACGUAGGGGGCAAGCGUUGUCCGGAUUUAUUGGGCGUAAAGAGCGUGUAGGCGGCUUUACAGGUCCGUUGUGAAAACUCGAGGCUCAACCUCGAGACGCCGGUGGAAACCGUAAAGCUAGAGUCCGGAAGAGGAGAGUGAAAUUCCUGGUGUAGCGGUGAAAUGCGCAGAUAUCAGGAAGAACACCCGUGGCGAAGGCGGCUCUCUGGGACGGUACUGACGCUGAGACGCGAAAGCGUGGGGAGCGAACAGG
RNAcentral lists this ribosomal RNA (253 nucleotides) under uncultured bacterium. RNAcentral's name for it is "partial 16S ribosomal RNA". It matches the Rfam family "Bacterial small subunit ribosomal RNA", at positions 524 to 776 of the family's 1533-position model. The record is from RNAcentral.